UAAGACAGAGGGGGCAAGCGUUGCUCGGAAUUACUGGGCGUAAAGGGCGCGUAGGCGGGAUGGCAAGUCGGUCGUGAAAUCCCUCGGCUCAACUGAGGAUCGUCGAUCGAUACUGCCGUUCUUGAGGAUUGCAGAGGAGACUGGAAUUCCCGGUGUAGCGGUGAAAUGUGUAGAGAUCGGGAGGAACACCGGUGGCGAAGGCGGGUCUCUGGGCAAUUCCUGACGCUGAGGCGCGAAAGCGUGGGGAGCAAACGGGAUUAGAUACCCUGGUAGUCCACGCUGUAAACGAUGGGCACUAGGUGUCCGGGGUAUUGACCCCCUGGGUGCCGCAGCUAACGCAUUAAGUGCCCCGCCUGGGGAGUACGGUCGCAAGAUUA
Molecule: ribosomal RNA, 377 nt
Filed under: uncultured bacterium
Lineage: Bacteria
Description: bacterial SSU rRNA
Rfam family: Bacterial small subunit ribosomal RNA
Source: RNAcentral